RNAcentral lists this long non-coding RNA (302 nucleotides) under Gallus gallus (chicken). Lineage: Eukaryota; Metazoa; Chordata; Aves; Galliformes; Phasianidae. The record is from RNAcentral.
CAUGAGCGGAGCUUGCUGAAAUCCCAAGUCAUUGUCUACCAUUUCUCUAAUUUCUUCAACCUUUUUAAGUGCGUACUUUGGGUCAUCAGGAAGAACCAUUAUUAUCCUCCCAUCGGGAUAUUCAGCCAAAAUUCUCUCCUUUUUCCAUCCCACAUAUUUUACAGCACUUAUGAACUGGUUAUGAAAGAGGAGGUGUUGGGUUUCAUCCUCUGGAUUUGAUGCAGUAUAAAGCAUUCCACAAAUAUUACAAGAAAUAGCACCAAAUCUCUUCUGUCCUGCAUCUAUGAUCAGCUGCUUUUCGC